Dreissena polymorpha is the source of this 457-nucleotide long non-coding RNA. RefSeq lists it as uncharacterized. The transcript has 3 exons. NCBI's taxonomy places the organism in Eukaryota, Metazoa, Mollusca, Bivalvia, Myida, Dreissenidae. The record is from RefSeq and is a predicted model, not a curated record.
AAAAACGUUUUGCGUUAGUGCAUUAUUGGAUGUAUAAAUAAUUUGCGAUCGGCUAUACUGCCACAAUAUCGAACCAAUGUCGACGUCGUCAGUGAAUGUUUCAACAACGCAAUCAGUGCCCACGUUGACGUCAGCAUACGAUAGCGUCUCGACGUCAUCGAAGGCGGUCGGGACUACAAUGAUGUGCGUCAUCAUAUUCAUAACCAUUGUGGGCAACGUUUGCCUCUUUGCUGUUGUGCUGAGGUCAAAGGCACUUCGUAAUCUGACUAACAUGUUCAUCCUUGGCUUGGCAACUGCAGAUCUGCUCGUUGGUCUGACACAAAUGCCAAUCACGGUGUACACGAUAAUCAAGGGUCGAUGGGAAUUUCCGCACAGCGCAUGCGUAGUCUUUAGGUUCAUGAACAUGGUAACACUGGUUACGAGCAUCUUGUCGUUAUGUAACAUUUCUAUAAAUAGA